Molecule: ribosomal RNA, 397 nt
Filed under: uncultured bacterium
Lineage: Bacteria
Description: partial 16S ribosomal RNA
Rfam family: Bacterial small subunit ribosomal RNA
Source: RNAcentral
AUACGUAGGGGGCGAGCGUUGUCCGGAAUGAUUGGGCGUAAAGGGCGCGUAGGCGGCGCGGAAAGUCUGGAGUGAAAGUCCUGCUUUCAAGGGGGGAAUUGCUUUGGAUACUGCCGCGCUUGAGUGCAGGAGAGGUUAUCGGAAUUCCCGGUGUAGCGGUGAAAGGGGUAGAGAUCGGGAGGAACACCAGUGGCGAAGGCGGGUAACUGGACUGCAACUGACGCUGAGGCGCGAAAGUGUGGGGAGCAAACAGGAUUAGAUACCCUGGUAGUCCACACUGUAAACGAUGAAUGCUAGGUGUAAGAGGUAUCGACCCCUUUUGUGCCGGAGUCAACACAAUAAGCAUUCCGCCUGGGGAGUACGGCCGCAAGGUUGAAACUCAAAUGAAUUGACGGGG